RNAcentral lists this ribosomal RNA (451 nucleotides) under uncultured bacterium. RNAcentral's name for it is "bacterial SSU rRNA". It matches the Rfam family "Bacterial small subunit ribosomal RNA", at positions 28 to 507 of the family's 1533-position model. The record is from RNAcentral.
GAUGAACGCUGGCGGCGUGCAUAACACAUUCAAGUCGAACGGAGCAGCAAUGCUUAGUGGCGGACGGGUGAGUAACGCGUGAGCAAUCUGCCUCUGUGUGGGGGAUAACAACCGGAAACGGUUGCUAAUACCGCAUAAUACGUACCUAUCGCAUGGUUAGUACGUCAAAGAUUUAUUGCACAGAGAUGAGCUUGCGUCCGAUUAGAUAGUUGGCAGGGUAACGGCCUACCAAGUCGACGAUCGGUAGCCGAACUGAGAGGUUGAACGGCCACAUUGGAACUGAGAUACGGUCCAGACCCCUACCGGGAGGCAGCAGUGGGGAAUAUUGGGCAAUGGGCGAAAGCCUGACCCAGCGACGCCGCGUGAGGGAAGAAGGUCUUCGGAUUGUAAACCUUUGUCAACAGGGACGAUAAUGACGGUACCUGAGGAGGAAGCCACGGCUAACUACGUG